Molecule: ribosomal RNA, 1456 nt
Filed under: uncultured bacterium
Lineage: Bacteria
Description: partial 16S ribosomal RNA
Rfam family: Bacterial small subunit ribosomal RNA
Source: RNAcentral
GAUGAACGCUGGCGGCGUGCUUAACACAUGCAAGUCGAACGGAGUUAUUUUGUUGGAAGGGAACAGUUUACUGGGACUGGAAGAGGGAAUAACUUAGUGGCGGACGGGUGAGUAACGCGUGGGUAACCUGCCGUAUACAGGGGGAUAACACUUAGAAAUAGGUGCUAAAACCGCAUAAGCGCCCAAUCCCGCAUGGGAUUGUGUGAAAAACUCCGGUGGUAUGGGAUGGGCCCGCGUCCGAUUAGCUAGUUGGCGGGGUAACGGCCCACCAAGGCGACGAUCAGUAGCCGGCCUGAGAGGGUGGACGGCCACAUUGGGACUGAGACACGGCCCAAACUCCUACGGGAGGCAGCAGUGGGGAAUAUUGGACAAUGGGGGAAACCCUGAUCCAGCGACGCCGCGUGAGUGAAGAAGUAUCUCGGUACGUAAAGCUCUAUCAGCAGGAAAGAAAAUGACGGUACCUGACUAAGAAGCCCCGGCUAACUACGUGCCAGCAGCCGCGGUAAUACGUAGGGGGCAAGCGUUAUCCGGAUUUACUGGGUGUAAAGAGAGCGUAGACGGCAGCGCAAGUCUGGAGUGAAAUGCCGGGGCCCAACCCCGGAACUGCUCUGGAAACUGUGAAGCUGGAGUACAGGAGGGGCAGGCGGAAUUCCUGGUGUAGCGGUGAAAUGCGUAGAUAUCAGGAGGAACACCGGCGGCGAAGGCGGCCUGCUGGACUGAAACUGACGUUGAGGCUCGAAAGCGUGGGGAGCAAACAGGAUUAGAUACCCUGGUAGUCCACGCAGUAAACGAUGAAUGCUGGCUGUCCGGGGGGAUUGACCCCUGGGUGGCGAAGCGAAAGCGAUAAGCAUUCCACCUGGGGAGUACGCCGGCAACGGUGAAACUCAAAGGAAUUGACGGGGGCCCGCACAAGCGGAGGAACAUGUGGUUUAAUUCGAUGAUACGCGAGGAACCUUACCCGGGCUCAAACGGGGAGUGACUCAGGCAGAGACGCCUGUUUCCCACGGGACACUCCCCGAGGUGCUGCAUGGUUGUCGUCAGCUCGUGCCGUGAGGUGUCGGCUUAAGUGCCAUAACGAGCGCAACCCCCGCGUGCAGUUGCUAACAGAUAACGCUGAGGACUCUGCACGGACUGCCGGCGCAAGCCGCGAGGAAGGCGGGGAUGACGUCAAAUCAGCACGGCCCUUACGUCCGGGGCGACACACGUGUUACAAUGGGUGGUACAGCGGGAAGCCAGGCGGCGACGCCGAGCGGAACCCGAAAUCCACUCUCAGUUCGGAUCGGAGUCUGCAACCCGACUCCGUGAAGCUGGAUUCGCUAGUAAUCGCGCAUCAGCCAUGGCGCGGUGAAUACGUUCCCGGGCCUUGUACACACCGCCCGUCAAGCCAUGGGAGCCGAGGGCGCUUGAAGUGCGUCGCCGCGAGGCGCGCCCUAGAGCGAAAUCGGUGACUGGGGCU